Molecule: ribosomal RNA, 689 nt
Filed under: Streptococcus gordonii
Lineage: Bacteria; Bacillati; Bacillota; Bacilli; Lactobacillales; Streptococcaceae
Description: bacterial SSU rRNA
Rfam family: Bacterial small subunit ribosomal RNA
Source: RNAcentral
CUGUAACUGACGCUGAGGCUCGAAAGCGUGGGGAGCGAACAGGAUUAGAUACCCUGGUAGUCCACGCCGUAAACGAUGAGUGCUAGGUGUUAGGCCCUUUCCGGGGCUUAGUGCCGCAGCUAACGCAUUAAGCACUCCGCCUGGGGAGUACGACCGCAAGGUUGAAACUCAAAGGAAUUGACGGGGGCCCGCACAAGCGGUGGAGCAUGUGGUUUAAUUCGAAGCAACGCGAAGAACCUUACCAGGUCUUGACAUCCCGAUGCCCGCUCUAGAGAUAGAGUUUUACUUCGGUACAUCGGUGACAGGUGGUGCAUGGUUGUCGUCAGCUCGUGUCGUGAGAUGUUGGGUUAAGUCCCGCAACGAGCGCAACCCUUAUUGUUAGUUGCCAUCAUUCAGUUGGGCACUCUAGCGAGACUGCCGGUAAUAAACCGGAGGAAGGUGGGGAUGACGUCAAAUCAUCAUGCCCCUUAUGACCUGGGCUACACACGUGCUACAAUGGCUGGUACAACGAGUCGCAAGUCGGUGACGGCAAGCUAAUCUCUUAAAGCCAGUCUCAGUUCGGAUUGUAGGCUGCAACUCGCCUACAUGAAGUCGGAAUCGCUAGUAAUCGCGGAUCAGCACGCCGCGGUGAAUACGUUCCCGGGCCUUGUACACACCGCCCGUCACACCACGAGAGUUUGUAACACCCG